GACGAACGCUGGCGGCGUGCUUAACACAUGCAAGUCGAACGGAAAGGCCUCUUUCGGGGGGUACUCGAGUGGCGAACGGGUGAGUAAUACGUGAGUAAUCUGCCCUUGACUUUGGGAUAACUUCAGGAAACUGGGGCUAAUACCGGAUAGGAGCUCCUUCUGCAUGGUGGGGGCUGGAAAGUUUCGGCGGUUGGGGAUGGACUCGCGGCUUCUCCGCUUGUUGGUGGGGUAGUGGCUUACCAAGGCUUUGCCGGGUAGCCGGCCUGAGAGGGUGACCGGCCACAUUGGGACUGAGAUACGGCCCAGACUCCUACGGGAGGCAGCAGUGGGGAAUAUUGCACAAUGGGUGGAAGCCUGAUGCAGCAACGCCGUGUGCGGGAUGACGGCCUUCGGGUUGUAAACCGCUUUCGCUCAUGACGAAGCUUUGUGUGACGGUAGUGGGUAAAGAAGCACCGGCUAACUACGUG
RNAcentral lists this ribosomal RNA (467 nucleotides) under uncultured bacterium. Its description in RNAcentral is "partial 16S ribosomal RNA". It matches the Rfam family "Bacterial small subunit ribosomal RNA", at positions 28 to 507 of the family's 1533-position model. The record is from RNAcentral.